UAUUAUUAAUAGUGUAAAUAUUUAAGACUAGGGUAGUAAUAGAUAAGGUCUUGAAACCCAAAGAAUUUGGCGGUGUUUUAGUCUUUUCAGAGGAAUCUGUCCCGUAAUCGAUAAUUCACGAUUGGGUUUACUUAAUUUUAAGGAUUUGUAUACCGCCGUCAUCAGAAUAUUUUUUUAGAAGGUAAUUUUCUUGAUAUUAAAUUAAAUAGGAUGUCAGGUCAAGGUGCAGUUGAUAAUUAAGAGGAGAUGGAUUACAAUAAUACAAAUUAUAUGGAAAUUAAUUUUUGAUGAAAAAUUGAAGGUGGAUUUGAUAGUAAUUAAGUUAAAAUUGUCUUGGUGAUUUUGCUCUAAAACAUGCACACAUCGCCCGUCGCUCUCAUUUUUUAAGUGAG
RNAcentral lists this ribosomal RNA (392 nucleotides) under Niphetogryllacris reunionis. RNAcentral describes it as "partial 12S ribosomal RNA". The record is from RNAcentral. Lineage: Eukaryota; Metazoa; Arthropoda; Insecta; Orthoptera; Gryllacrididae.